AUGGCCUCCUCCGGGCAGGUCACCGGGCAUUGGGGCUUAAUGAGCUCUACAGGGGCGAUGCUGUUGGCCUGUAUUUGCCAGAAGGCCAUGAUGGGGUGACUCAUGCCUGAUGAGGAGUCUUGCUGGGAGAGGGACCUGCAAAGCAGUUGCCUUCGUGCCCCCACCCACAAACCAGGGCUACCUGGUGGGUCUGUGUGGCUCCCUCCAGGAUUGCUGUCUCCAACCUCACAGGCCCGCCAUGCUAGUCUGAGAACCAGGGAAGCAGGCUUUCUGCUCAGCAGCAUCAAGCCCACCCCAGCUCCAAGCACAGGUGAUGCAUAUCAAAGGACGCUCAGCGAGUAGGGAGAAGGCAGGGGACAAAAGCGUCAUAAACAACACUCACCAGCGACUAAGCUGCCAGCCUCAGAGACCAAGGAGUAAGCAGGCCAGCCUUUGAGCAUCUUGAGUUGGCAGCUUCUGAUCCCUGGAAAGAAGGACCCCCAGGCACCUUCACAGCGAGGAUGGCUUGAUUUUAGCUGUUCCCAGGAAGACGAGGUGUUCAAACAGACCAGGAGAGCUGUGAGCUGGAGCUGGCGUGGGCUCCAAGCAGAGCUGGGCUGAGCUCUGAGCCCUGUCUCUUGGGAGCUGUGCCAUCCCAGACAGACAUCACAGCGGGUGCAGAGGCUCCAGCACCUGGCAGGCUAAGUGAAGAGAUCAAGAAUUCCAGGCCAGCCUGGGCUAAACAGUGAGACCAAAUGAAGACACAAAAACACUUGACAAA
Meriones unguiculatus (Mongolian gerbil) is the source of this 760-nucleotide long non-coding RNA. RefSeq lists it as uncharacterized. Lineage: Eukaryota; Metazoa; Chordata; Mammalia; Rodentia; Muridae. The transcript is spliced from 3 exons. The record is from RefSeq and is a predicted model, not a curated record.